ACAACAAAAUUUAAAAUGAACUAUCCCUUUCUUUCUCUUUCUCUUUCUCUCUCUCAAUUUCAAGCACGAAAAGAGAAGGCGAUCUGAGUGGAUGAGGUGAGAAGUUGGGAGCUGAUUCGCCGUCAAGGCAAAAAAUUUCUGACCAAACAUGAAAUUAGUGUUUUUCAAGGAAAUUCUGGAUCUCGUCAAUUACUCUAUAGGUUUAUACUCUAUAGGUUUAUACUUCGGAUAAUUUUCACGGGAGUUAACUUCUAGAUAGCUCCUUUAUAUCCACGAGACACAGAGAGAUUUUAGGAUUUUAGGACAGGAAAGGUCGGUUGAGAACCCUAAACCGUGGAAUUGGGUUAGCUUUUCCAAAUUUGGUGUUGGAUAAUCUUCACUUUGCAGAAAUGGGUUUUGUUAAAUGUCAGAUUGGUAAGUACAGAAGGUUUGUUUGAAAAAUUGUUUCUUAAAUACGAGUUUUUUUUUUUUAUGAAACUUAGUAUGAAAUUUUCAAAUCUGUACAAAGUUUUGUUCUUAGUUUAAUAGACACGAGUUUUAUAUUAUCAACUAAUUUGAAAUCAUUAUUGGUUAUAGAUGACGUUUUGAAUUCAUACGUAUAUUACUUUUUUAAACUUAAAUUCAACUUUUGUUUUACUUUUGCAAACGGGAAUUUCUGGGCUGUGCCAUCAUAAAUCCUAACAUGUUAGAUGUCUGAGUUUGUUCAUGCUAUAUUAGAUUGCUCUCGCUGUACUGGAUUGCAGGUAUUGUCUGCUUCUUCAGAUGACGAACAUUGAGUUUCUAUUGCCCCCUGUCUGUUAUUUAUAGAAAUUGUGGAUCUUUAUGAUUUCAAUGAGUGAAUUCAAAUAUUGGAUAUUGGCUGGUUGAUGUUUGACAUGUGGUUGUUUGUUGCGUGCUAUCUUCCGAUCCGGUCCCUUAUCAAAAGGAGUAUCUGCUUAACAUGGUUUUAUGAUAUUGAUUGUUAGAUAAUAUUAACAUUGCUGUCUUAAAUAGCAUUAUUCAUGUUGUUUCAUCUGCUGAACGCCUAUUAAAUAUCAUGGUAACAAAUAAACUGUAUACUGUGAAAACCCCAACCUUGGAAGUCAUAACCCCAAGAUAAUAUAAACUUAAAGAGUUAGGAUUUCCUUUUCUUGAAAUCCAGAUUGAUUUGAGUGAUUAAAGUUGUUCAAAUGGCUAUACAGAACAUGAUUUUCUCUUACAUUGUCAAGGAGAGAUACGAAGUUCCGAAAACUUGAAUAUAUAUGCUUCUUAGCAACAUGCCUAAUUGAAAAAAAAAUGUCGUUCUUUCUCUUUAAGAAAUUUUAAUUUAAUGAUGAAACUUAUAAGAAAAAAAUGCAAGUGAAAUAUGUUGCCAUAUAGCUGGAGGCAACAUGCAAUGGGUAAGAAUAGACAGUUGAAAUUGGGACCAUUUGGUGAGUGGUGGAUAAUAGUAGCUUAGAGUUUUCCAGUUUUCCCGUUUAGUGUAAUCUUUAGCUAUAUGAAAAUAUCAAACUCAAGUGUAGUUCAUAGCUCCAUUGCCUAUCUAGUGUCAACCCUCUUGGCGACAAACUUGCAAUAGCUACAUGGUCUUUUUAAACACUGUGAGGAUAAUUAAGAUAACUGCGAUUGUUGAAAUUCUCUACCUCCUAUUGUUUCUGAUUUGAGGAUUUUCUUGACAAUUAUUUUCCCUGAGGUCUAGAUGCUCUGCUGACAAAAGUUCCCAUGAUAUUCCAACUAUGGGGACAAUAAGAGGUAAAGUUGUCAAGAUUUCAAAGUAUUCUAAGAAUUAAUGAGGACAAGUACCUUACAUGAUUAAAGUUAAAUUAGUGCCGAAUAAUUUUUGGGGGAAAUGAUGAGCUCUAGAUGGAUAAGUAUA
Molecule: long non-coding RNA, 1855 nt
Organism: Vigna radiata var. radiata (mung bean)
Lineage: Eukaryota; Viridiplantae; Streptophyta; Magnoliopsida; Fabales; Fabaceae
Exons: 2
Source: RefSeq, a predicted model, not a curated record